Molecule: long non-coding RNA, 1642 nt
Filed under: Papio anubis (olive baboon)
Lineage: Eukaryota; Metazoa; Chordata; Mammalia; Primates; Cercopithecidae
Description: lncRNA (ENSPANG00000040447.1)
Source: RNAcentral
CAGGGAUCCUCUUCCCUUCCCUUCUUUCUACCCCAAGCAUCUCCUACCUGGCUUUUCAACUCCCUGGGAAGAGACAAGAGGAGAGAUCAGUACAGCCUUAGCAGGACUUGAGCUACAUCCAAGUGUCUCUUCAGCCAGAAGUAGCCUUACCCUAGUGGAAGAUGUGUGGACAAGUUAUUCCAGGAGGAGUCUGGAGGCCUUGUGUUUCCAGGAAGUAAGAGGCUCUUGUAUAUAUCCUCCAGCUGAAGCCUCUGGGCCACAUGUCAUUGGAGGACAACCAUGGAGCGGAUGAUUGAUCUGGAUAUUUCACAAUUCCCAGUGCGAGACUUUCCCCACCCAAGACCUACAUGUAGCUGGGAUGGGGUUCAAAGGCAUCUGCAGGUGCAGAGUCCACUUCAGCAGCAGCCUCCAGAGUGCUGGCCACUGCCCCCUCCACAGCAGCUGGAGCCCCCUGAGGGCUGGCUGCAGCAGUCAGAGCGCUGGGGUCUGUGGCAGUGGGACCUGCGGCGCCUGUGGUGGCUCAGACAGCAGCCGCCACCCCCAGAGCUGCAGCAGCCCCCAGAGCUGGAACCACAGCAGCCCCCAGAGCUGGAGCCACAGCAGCCCCCAGAGCUGGAGCCACAGCAGCCUCCGGAGCUGACACUGCAGCAGGAAGAGACUGGAGGGCACUUAGGGGGACACUUUGGGGGACACUUAGGGCUGGGGCACUUGGGGGUGCACUUGGGAGGGGGCUGGCACUGCUGCUGGCUCUGCUGGCAGGACAUUUCGGCGGUGGGUGUUCAGGAGCUGAAAGAGAGUCAAAUAGCAAGUUAGAGCCAGGCACAGAGACCACCCUUAUUGCCUUUUUUACCAUCAUUUAUUUUUGCUACAUUUUUAAAACCUGUUCAAAUAAGUCAGAGAGAAAUAAUCUCUAAAAUUUUUUGUCAGAUGCUUUCACAGUGUCUUAUAGGAUCAUCAGGAUGUUUUUAUAAAAUGGAAAUAGAUUAUCUAAUUUUAACCAAGCAAGAUAAUGAGGACAACGGUAUUAACAAACUUGCCCAAAAUUAAUGUCCUUUAAAUGGACAAGGCAAUUUGACAUUCACAGAAUCUGACUGAAGUGUGCCCUUCUGCACCACUCAGAAUUCUGAAAAUGUGCAAUCUAGGAGCCAGUUUAAACCUGCAGUUCUGCUUUUUAAAAAACAAACCAGAAGACCCUAUCUCUAAAAAAGAAUUAGCUGGGUAUAGUGGCAUGCACCUGUAGUCCCAACUACUUAGGAGGCAGGGGCUGGAGGAUCGUGUGAGCCCAGGAGGCCAAUGCUACAGUGAGCCAAGAUCUCGCCACUGCACUGCAGUCUGGGCAGUAGAAUGACACUUUGUCUCAAAAUAAAUGAAACAAAAUAAUAAAAUAAAAAUAAAGACUCCCUUUUGCAGGAGCUUCCCAGAUGGCUGUAUUUAAUUGUCACAAACACACAAUAUAUUAUGGUCAGAAUUGCAAAGGGUCAUUAUAUAAGUUGGCUAUCCCAAAUCAUAUUAUAAAUGGAGAAAUGAGGUCUAAAGCUAAUUGCAGCAAGCUGACACGUGACCCUAGAUUUCCCGGUCUGAUGAACCAGGCCUAGUGAAGUUCCCUCUUAGAACCCACAGACUCCUCCAUCUGCCACCCUGG